GAUGUUUUGAUGGACUUUGAUGCUCUUGUUGAGGCACAGACUGGUUUUCGGAACAGCUGCUGUUAUAGUCAUGAACAAGCAGUGUGAUCUUAUCCUUGCUAUUUCCCGGCUCAUCAAGUUCUACAAGCAUGAGAGCUGUGGUCAGUGCACACCCUGUAGGGAGGGCUGUAGUUGGAUGACUACAAUCAUGUACAGAUUUGGUGAGUUGAGACUUCAUGCAUGUUAAAAAGAGACGAAAUAGGCACUAGGCGAGCUGCAUUCAUCUGCCAGAAUUAUUUGAAAGAAAGGACUGUUUAUAGUGUAAACAAAAGCAAGAUGAAUUAUCUUUUGUGGUAAAAUUCCUUGGUUUUUUGAAUGAGAGAGUUCUUUCUUGUAUGCUGGUUAAUCAAACUCUGAGGCUGAGGAA
Molecule: long non-coding RNA, 406 nt
Organism: Orbicella faveolata
Lineage: Eukaryota; Metazoa; Cnidaria; Anthozoa; Scleractinia; Merulinidae
Source: RefSeq, a predicted model, not a curated record